RNAcentral lists this long non-coding RNA (762 nucleotides) under Phoenix dactylifera (date palm). RNAcentral's name for it is "long non-coding RNA (PDAC_LNC005206)". Lineage: Eukaryota; Viridiplantae; Streptophyta; Magnoliopsida; Arecales; Arecaceae. The record is from RNAcentral.
UCUCUCUCUCUCUCUCUCUCUCUCUCUCUCUCUCUGCCUCUCUCACUAAGGCACUACACUAAUAAGAAAGAAGCUGUAAAGGCUAGGUUGCAACGCCCACCUAUUUUUGUAUGGAAAAAUUUAGUUGCAGAGCCACAUGAAGGAUGUGAAUUCUCGUACACUUAGACACACAUACGAAGAAGAGAACUCCAGAGUUCUCUCUCUCGCAGACACUGUAUAUUGUUUAGUGUGUAAAGGCUCUGUAGGAGGAGGGUGGGAUGGAGGGAGGUGGGGGAUAACUGUAAGAAAAAGAGAGGGAUGUAGUGAGGGGAAAGAGAUGUUGGGGUUACGUCUUGAAGCUGUUGGUGGGGUCAAAAUAAAAAGAAGAUAGAAUGGAGGAUUAAAAUAUAGAGCUACAGAGCAAACGGCAGAAAGCUCAGAGGUUUUUUUUUUUUAAGAGAGAGGGUUCGGUAAUCACAGUUCCACUUCUCUGCAAUGUUACAGAUUGGCCAGUAUCUUGUUAAUAUAAGAGCCUCAUUAUUAAGCACCUAGGUCUGAAGAUGAGCUAAAUAAAAGGACAGAUGGUAGCCCAAAAUAUAUCAUUGAAUUGAAAGUGCUGUCGGAGGAGGGAUUUUGUAAUACACUUCCAUAGCCUUACGUUCCAUGAGCAUAAUGAAGCUAUAAUUAUGUUAACCAUUAGUUAUAGGUUACUUAGGCUAAGAAACAUGCUUUAAUGUCUUUUUUUUUUUAAAAAAAAAGAAAAGCAAUUCCUUUUAUUACUUU